This 374-nucleotide long non-coding RNA is filed under the name Anser brachyrhynchus (Pink-footed goose). RNAcentral's name for it is "lncRNA (ENSABRG00000022566.1)". Lineage: Eukaryota; Metazoa; Chordata; Aves; Anseriformes; Anatidae. The record is from RNAcentral.
GUAACACCAUCCUUCCACUCAGAUCCCACACAGAACAGAGGAAAGGUAGAGUAGAGCAGGGCACAAACUAUAGAGGCUCUGGAUGCAACUGUAGUGCAGAUAAUCUUCACAGUGACCCAGAGGGAGAACCAAGGCCACACUCAGAGGUCAGAGAAAGGUGAAGAUCAGAAAAAGUAAAGACACAUCCCAUACACUUCAAAUACUGCCUAGCUGUAAUUAGAAAUGAUGAUUGCUUAAUAUUCAGAAUACUACAGAAUAUAUAAUACAGAAUAAUACAGAAUUCUUUCCUAUACUUUCAUGAAAAGUCUUUCAUGAGGAAACUCUUAUGGUCAUAUUUAAAAUAAUUAAAAUAUUUUUUCUUUAUUGAAGUGGAG